This 70-nucleotide transfer RNA is filed under the name Tullbergia bisetosa. RNAcentral describes it as "tRNA-Ser". It matches the Rfam family "tRNA". Rfam says of the family: Transfer RNA (tRNA) molecules are approximately 80 nucleotides in length. Their secondary structure includes four short double-helical elements and three loops (D, anti-codon, and T loops). Lineage: Eukaryota; Metazoa; Arthropoda; Collembola; Poduromorpha; Tullbergiidae. The record is from RNAcentral.
AGUUAUUUAGCUAAAUGUUAAGCAAAUACCUUGAAAGUAUUCUAAAUAAGUUUAAUUCUUAUAAUAACUU